AGGUUUCCAGGAUAGUGUUACUGUGCUCUUAUAAGAAGGAGGAAUGUGGAAGAGAUCCUGCAGAGACAGAAAUCAGAUAACUUACAGAUUCUUGAAAAGAACAUUUUCUCAUCUGCAUGCAGAGACAUGAUCUCAUCGCCCAGACAGGAGUGCGGAGGCAUGACUGCAGCUGACCGUAACCUCGAGCUCCUGGGCUCAAGUGAGCCUCCCAUCUCAGUGUUGCAAGUAGCUGGGACUACUGGUGUGUUACCAC
Molecule: long non-coding RNA, 253 nt
Filed under: Homo sapiens (human)
Lineage: Eukaryota; Metazoa; Chordata; Mammalia; Primates; Hominidae
Description: HSALNT0362463
Source: RNAcentral